CAAAUUCAGUGUUUAAAUACAAUUCAAAAUCUAAUUAUUGAAAAUAUAAAUUCUGUAAUUACUGUGAAGUAUUGAAAUAUAGAAGUGAGUAAAUAUGUGUCAAAUAUUUAACAACUUUUUCUUUCAAACUAUUUUUUUUAGAUGAAAUCAAUGGUACCUAUGUGUUGUUCUGAUGGAAAUACAAUACUUCAACAAUUGUCCAUACAUCAAAGUCAAUAUAAUAUAUUUUAGUAUUAUCUAAUAAUUUACAUUUCUAUAGUAGUACAAUUUUUUAAAUUUUUUAUAGUUAUUGUUCAAUUAGAGCAUAUGUUCAGUAAAAACCAAAAAUAAUAACCUAUAAGUGGUUGGGAAACAUUUUCUGUACAUCUAAUUGAUAUGUUCAGCGAAAUCAAAGCCACCACAUUUGGUAAUGAAGUUAGUGGACUGUAUUCAUUACUAGAGGUA
Non-coding RNA from Cinara cedri, 444 nucleotides. The record is from the annotation of a GenBank genome assembly. Lineage: Eukaryota; Metazoa; Arthropoda; Insecta; Hemiptera; Aphididae.